UUAAAUCUGCCUCCUUGGAUCUCUCUCUGCUUCUAGACGUGUUUUUGAGUGUUUAGAGUGGUUGGAUGUGAAUGGGAUAAGAAAAAAUGAAGUCUAGUGGCUUUUUAUAAGUGACAGAAAAGUGGAUCUUCGCUUAGCGACGGAACUGUUCGCUUAGCGACGCAGGUUUCUUCACUCUGAAGUACUCUUAAACCGCCACAGCUUCGCUGGCUCUCGCUACAGCUCGCUCAGCGACCAUCUCUCGCUAUCCCUCGCUAUCUCUCGCUACUGACUUGGCUCGCUAUCCCUCGCUAUCUCUCGCUUAGCGACGGCACUGAUUUUUCUGCAUUUUCUGAUAGCAUGCGUCCUUUUGUCUGUCGCUUUGACGUCGCUUAGCCAACAACUCAUACUCAAAAUUUUGAUCUCUUCAUUCCAAAUUCCAUUAAAUCCAAAAUUUCCUACAAAAAGUGUUGGAAUUAGAUAGAAAUAGCAAAAAUAACUAAUUUUCUCAUUAAAACUAAUAUUUACGAUUAGUUGGUUUUUUAUAUGAAAUUACUUUUAAAAUAAGUCGAUAAGUGCUUAAAAUAUAUAUGUAAAAUUACCAAUUUUUGGCACUUAUCA
This 600-nucleotide long non-coding RNA is filed under the name Trifolium pratense (red clover). Its description in RNAcentral is "long non-coding RNA (TPRA_LNC003833)". The record is from RNAcentral. Lineage: Eukaryota; Viridiplantae; Streptophyta; Magnoliopsida; Fabales; Fabaceae.